RNAcentral lists this ribosomal RNA (575 nucleotides) under uncultured Pseudomonadota bacterium. RNAcentral's name for it is "bacterial SSU rRNA". It matches the Rfam family "Bacterial small subunit ribosomal RNA", at positions 75 to 649 of the family's 1533-position model. Lineage: Bacteria; Pseudomonadati; Pseudomonadota. The record is from RNAcentral.
UGCUUCUUUGCUGACGAGUGGCGGACGGGUGAGUAAUGUCUGGGAAACUGCCUGAUGGAGGGGGAUAACUACUGGAAACGGUAGCUAAUACCGCAUAACGUCGCAAGACCAAAGAGGGGGACCUUCGGGCCUCUUGCCAUCGGAUGUGCCCAGAUGGGAUUAGCUAGUAGGUGGGGUAACGGCUCACCUAGGCGACGAUCCCUAGCUGGUCUGAGAGGAUGACCAGCCACACUGGAACUGAGACACGGUCCAGACUCCUACGGGAGGCAGCAGUGGGGAAUAUUGCACAAUGGGCGCAAGCCUGAUGCAGCCAUGCCGCGUGUAUGAAGAAGGCCUUCGGGUUGUAAAGUACUUUCAGCGGGGAGGAAGGGAGUAAAGUUAAUACCUUUGCUCAUUGACGUUACCCGCAGAAGAGGCACCGGCUAACUCCGUGCCAGCAGCCGCGGUAAUACGGAGGGUGCAAGCGUUAAUCGGAAUUACUGGGCGUAAAGCGCACGCAGGCGGUUUGUUAAGUCAGAUGUGAAAUCCCCGGGCUCAACCUGGGAACUGCAUCUGAUACUGGCAAGCUUGAGUCU